Molecule: ribosomal RNA, 644 nt
Filed under: Arthrobacter sp. SMCC G949
Lineage: Bacteria; Bacillati; Actinomycetota; Actinomycetes; Micrococcales; Micrococcaceae
Description: bacterial SSU rRNA
Rfam family: Bacterial small subunit ribosomal RNA
Source: RNAcentral
GGGGAUUAGUGGCGAACGGGUGAGUAACACGUGAGUAACCUGCCCUUAACUCUGGGAUAAGCCUGGGAAACUGGGUCUAAUACCGGAUAUGACUCCUCAUCGCAUGGUGGGGGGUGGAAAGCUUUUGUGGUUUUGGAUGGACUCGCGGCCUAUCAGCUUGUUGGUGAGGUAAUGGCUCACCAAGGCGACGACGGGUAGCCGGCCUGAGAGGGUGACCGGCCACACUGGGACUGAGACACGGCCCAGACUCCUACGGGAGGCAGCAGUGGGGAAUAUUGCACAAUGGGCGGAAGCCUGAUGCAGCGACGCCGCGUGAGGGAUGACGGCCUUCGGGUUGUAAACCUCUUUCAGUAGGGAAGAAGCGAGAGUGACGGUACCUGCAGAAGAAGCGCCGGCUAACUACGUGCCAGCAGCCGCGGUAAUACGUAGGGCGCAAGCGUUAUCCGGAAUUAUUGGGCGUAAAGAGCUCGUAGGCGGUUUGUCGCGUCUGCCGUGAAAGUCCGGGGCUCAACUCCGGAUCUGCGGUGGGUACGGGCAGACUAGAGUGAUGUAGGGGAGACUGGAAUUCCUGGUGUAGCGGUGAAAUGCGCAGAUAUCAGGAGGAACACCGAUGGCGAAGGCAGGUCUCUGGGCAUAACUACGCU